Juglans regia (Persian walnut) is the source of this 1529-nucleotide long non-coding RNA. RefSeq lists it as uncharacterized. The transcript is spliced from 2 exons. Lineage: Eukaryota; Viridiplantae; Streptophyta; Magnoliopsida; Fagales; Juglandaceae. The record is from RefSeq and is a predicted model, not a curated record.
CUACAUUAAUGCCACAAAUACGCAAAUCCAAACCCUUUUGUGGAGCUUUGUGUCUUGAAGACUUGAUCUUUCCCUUACUUCUUAGUUGAGAGUAGUACUCCUCGUUGAGAGAUUCAAAGCCCCCCAUAAAACCGUUUAGCGAGUCAAAACCUCGAAACCCAUGAACCUGAUUUGGCUCUCGGCUCCCCCAUAAUGACUAACUCCUCGACCGCCGAUAACUCCAUGCAUAUCAAGGAGCUCUACCAGUACGUCGAGCGUCUCAAUGAGUCUACAGACAAGUCCCAGGUCCUCUUCCCCUUAUGGAAUCUUUUUUCCUUUUUGCUGUGUUUCCUAGUAGUGUUUCUACAACCCUAGCCUGCCCCGCGUUCCUCUAUGAGAUCGUUCUCCUCUUUUUGCACUACAGGAAAUUUUCCUUCUCGCGGGGAGCGAAAUCCCCGCAUUUCCCCUGUUUUCUCGCAGCAAAUUUUCAGAAACUGCGAUAAUUACUCUUCGCUAAUCGGUCGAAAGUAAAACGUCUGCUCAGUUGAUUUUCGGUGAUAAAUCAUCAGCGGCCGCAAUUGCUGCACCUAACUCGGCGGUUCAUCUCUCGCAGCAAAAUCGCAUUGCCAAUUUGGGAGAAGGGCAAUUACGGUGAUGAGGCGUCGCAAAUUUGGGGUGAUUUACGGCGAUUUUGCGGGUCCGUAAAAUCCAGAUUUCGGCGAAUUUGGGGCUGGCCGCAAAGAAGCGUUCUUCCCAAGGUUGCGGUGAAUUUAUAGACGCCGCAGAUUCAAGGAUUUUACAUACGGUGAAAGAUCGAGAUCCCCGCAAUUUUUUUUAUUCAACAUGCGGUGAAUUUGAUUAUGACGCCGCAAGAAGAUGGUGCUGAUCCAUACGGUGAAAUAGCGAGAUCCCCGCAUUUGGUUUUGAUUCUACAUGCGGUGAAUUAGAUUACCACGCCGCAAUCUCAGAUGGAUUUUACAUACGGUGAGCAUGUAUGGCGCAGGAAAUGCCAAUUAAUAUCACCGCGCGCUUGCUUACAAAUUUACAGCUGUACAGGCACAUAUGGGUUUUUGGGUAUGCGGUGAAUAAAUUAUAAGAACCCACUCGGUUUAUUAGAUUGAUGGGUUUUCUGAACGGUGGCUUCAAACAAUAGUUGAUCAGAGCAAAUUUAUGGGUUUUUGGGUUCACUGAUGCAGCACGUCGUUGCAGGAAUUUAUGGGUUUUUGGAUUCGCUGUCUUCAAUUUCUGCUUUACGUUAUUUAAAGCUGAUGUUCUUCACCCAGAGAAAGGCAGGGAAAGCAAUGGAAGACACAUGAAGGAUUUGGCCAUACUGGGCGAGCCAUGUAUUAUAGCUAGCACCAAGAUCCCACAAAAGUAGAUGAUCAGCAAUCCCACCAAAUCAAUCCCACCAAAAGAAGAUGAUCAUUUGACAGUUACGUAAUUUUUGUACGUACAGCUAAAUUACUUGUGUCUUCCAUGUAUAAAUCAUCUACUCAUGUAUAUAUGUGUAUGAGACCAUCAAUGAAAAAUAUACGGAAAUUAUUCUUCAA